Molecule: unclassified non-coding RNA, 233 nt
Filed under: Hevea brasiliensis (rubber tree)
Lineage: Eukaryota; Viridiplantae; Streptophyta; Magnoliopsida; Malpighiales; Euphorbiaceae
Source: RNAcentral
AUGCAAUGCCAACAUGAAUCUGGUAUGUAAAGAAACUUCAUUUUAUUUGCCUUAUCUGUUAUAUUUAUUUUCAUGCAUUAGUCACAGGGAAAAUCCACUUACAAUGUGGAAGUUCUGAAUCCAACAAACAUUAUGGCUAGUUAUUAGUAUGAAGGCAAAAGGAUAAAACCAUUAGAUGUUUUUGGUAAGAUGAUCCUUGUUUGUUUUGCAGGUGGGUUUGCUGGUAACAUUGG